GACGAACGCUGGCGGCGUGCUUAACACAUGCAAGUCGAACGGAAAGACCCUGCUUUUGUGGGGUGCUCGAGUGGCGAACGGGUGAGUAACACGUGAGUAACCUGCCCUUGACUUUGGGAUAACUUCAGGAAACUCGGGCUAAUACCGGAUAGGAGCUCCUGCACCAUGGUGGGGGUUGGAAAGUUUCGGCGGUUGGGGAUGGACUCGCUGCUUAUUAGCUUGUUGGUCGGGUAGUGGCUUACCAAGGCUUUGACGGGUAGCCGGCCUGAGAGGGUGACCGGCCACCUUGCGCCUGCGGUACGGAGCAGACUGCUACGGGAGGCAGUAGUCGGGAAUAUUGCAGAAUGGGGGCACGCCUGAUGUAGCAACGCUGCGUGCGGGAUGAUGUCCUUCGGGUUGUAAACCGCUUUCGAAGGUGACGAAGAGUGAGUGACGGUAAUGGGUCAAGAAGCACCGGCUAACUACGUG
This 468-nucleotide ribosomal RNA is filed under the name uncultured bacterium. Its description in RNAcentral is "partial 16S ribosomal RNA". It matches the Rfam family "Bacterial small subunit ribosomal RNA", at positions 28 to 507 of the family's 1533-position model. The record is from RNAcentral.